RNAcentral lists this ribosomal RNA (446 nucleotides) under Plakobranchus ocellatus. Its description in RNAcentral is "partial 16S ribosomal RNA". It matches the Rfam family "Bacterial large subunit ribosomal RNA", at positions 1832 to 2601 of the family's 2925-position model. The record is from RNAcentral. Lineage: Eukaryota; Metazoa; Mollusca; Gastropoda; Plakobranchidae.
AGCUUUAAGUUUUAUUUAAAGUGAGACCUGCCCAGUGCUAAUUAGUAAACGGCCGCAGUACCUUGACUGUGCUAAGGUAGCAUAAUCAGUUGGCUUUUAAAUGGAGUCGGGAAUGAAUGGAUUAAUAGGGUUAAGCUGUCUCUACUAUAUUAAAUUGAACUUACUUAUUAGGUGAAAAUGCCUAAGUUGUAAAAGAAAAAAGACGAGAAGACCCUAGGAGUUUUAACUAGAUGCUAUUUAUUAUAGUUAAUGUUUUUGUUGGGGCGACAUUGGAACAAUUUUAUUUAACUUCCUUUAUGUUUAUAGGCCGACUUUGUAUGUAAAUCUAAACUACCCUAGGGAUAACAGCGUAAUUCUUUUUGAGCUUGCGACCUCGAUGUUGGACUAGGAAUUUGGUGGGCUAGCCGCCUAUUUAUAUUGUUCUGUUCGAACUGUUUUUCCUACAU